AAUUUCCGAAUCCGACCCGUUGACAUCUCUAAGCGAGAAGCGGGGACCUCGCAGGAGAGGAUCGCUACACCCGUCCGCGAUAAUGGGUCCUGCAGUAUCAUUUUGCUUUAGAAAUAAAUUUUUCUUACUUAUUUUUGAAAUAGUAUAAAUUUUAAGAUAAGUAGGAAUAAAAUUUAUUUUACGUUGUUUUCGAAAUAAGAAAAUCACGUUCGAAGAGUUAGAUUAGAAUAGUAAGAAUAAAAGUAAUUAUUAUUUUAAAAUAAUAAUAUUUUAUCUAAUUAAUUAAUUGAAUAUUAAUUUAAUAAUAACUUAAACUAUUUAAUUAACUAAUCUAGACUAUAUAUAAAAGCGUAUAGAAAUGACAUGUAAAAGCGUAUAAAAGCGUAUAUUAAUUAAUAAAAUAAUUAACAAUGAGUACAACUAAUUAAAUUAUUAAUUAACCAUGUGUAAAUUAAUAAAUUAAUAAAUCAAUUAUUUAAUUAUAUAAUAGUUAGUAAUUAGUUAAUAAAAUAAUUGGAUUAAUUAAAAUAUUAAUUAUUUACUAAUCAACAUAAAUAUUAGCCAAUUGUU
This 570-nucleotide long non-coding RNA is filed under the name Ananas comosus (pineapple). RNAcentral's name for it is "long non-coding RNA (ACOM_LNC007248)". The record is from RNAcentral. Lineage: Eukaryota; Viridiplantae; Streptophyta; Magnoliopsida; Poales; Bromeliaceae.